GCCGUAUUGUCAGGUAGUGAUA
RNAcentral lists this microRNA (22 nucleotides) under Macaca fascicularis (crab-eating macaque). RNAcentral's name for it is "microRNA miR-4999-5p". Lineage: Eukaryota; Metazoa; Chordata; Mammalia; Primates; Cercopithecidae. The record is from RNAcentral.